RNAcentral lists this ribosomal RNA (788 nucleotides) under uncultured Sulfobacillus sp. RNAcentral's name for it is "bacterial SSU rRNA". It matches the Rfam family "Bacterial small subunit ribosomal RNA", at positions 31 to 843 of the family's 1533-position model. The record is from RNAcentral. Lineage: Bacteria; Bacillati; Bacillota; Clostridia; Eubacteriales; Clostridiales Family XVII. Incertae Sedis.
GGACGUGGCGGGCGCGUAUAAUGCAAGUCGAGCGGACCUUCGGGUCAGCGGCGGACGGGUGAGGAACACGUGAGUGAUCUAUCGAUGAGUGGGGGAUAUCGGGCCGAAAGGCGCGGCAAUCCCGCAUACGUUCCUACGGGAAGAAAGCUGGGCAACUGGCGCUCAUCGCGGAGCUCGCGGCCCAUUAGCUAGUUGGGGGGGUAACGGCCUCCCAGGGCGACGAUGGGUAGCCGGCCUGAGAGGGUGAACGGCCACACUGGGACUGAGACACGGCCCAGACUCCUACGGGAGGCAGCAGUAGGGAAUCUUCCACAAUGGGCGCAAGCCUGAUGGAGCAACGCCGCGUGAGUGAAGACGGCCUUCGGGUUGUAAAGCUCUGUCUGUCGGGACGAAGACCGGGACGGGAGUCCCGGGGAGCCGGUACCGACGAAGGAAGCCCCUGCAAACUACGUGCCAGCAGCCGCGGUAAGACGUAGGGGGCAAGCGUUGUCCGGAAUUACUGGGCGUAAAGGGCGUGUAGGCGGUGCGAUACGUAGCGGUUUUAAGCCUCCGGCUCACCCGGAGGAGGGCGGCUAAACGGUCGCACUGGAGGGCAGGAGAGGUGCGUGGAAUUCCUGGUGGAGCGGUGAAAUGCGUAGAGAUCAGGAAGAACACCAGUGGCGAAGGCGGCGCACUGGCCUGACCCUGACGCUGAGGCGCGACAGCGUGGGGAGCAAACGGGAUUAGAUACCCCGGUAGUCCACGCCGUAAACGAUGGAUACUAGGUGUCGUGGGGGUCCACCCUGCGG